This is a non-coding RNA of Xyrichtys novacula (pearly razorfish), 836 nucleotides long. NCBI's taxonomy places the organism in Eukaryota, Metazoa, Chordata, Actinopteri, Labriformes, Labridae. The record is from the annotation of a GenBank genome assembly.
GGUUAGGGUUGGGCUUGGAGCUAGGAUUUUUCUGAGUGCACUGAACCAACUCCCGAGUCUCUAGGACAUUCCUAAAAAAUUUGAUUUUUUCCCAUAGGAAUGCAUGGGUUAGGGUUAGGGUUAGGGUUGGAGCUAGGGUUAGGGUUAGGGUUAGGGUUGGAGUUAGGGUUAGUGUUGGAGCUAGGGUUAGGGUUGGGCUUGGAGCUAGGAUUUUUCUGAGUGCAAUGAACCAACUCCCGAGUCUCUAGGACGUUCCUAAAAAAAUUUGAUUUUUUCCCAUAGGAAUGCAUGGGUUAGGGUUAGGGUUAGGGUUGGAGCUAGGGUUAGGGUUAGGGUUAGGGUUGGAGUUAGGGUUAGUGUUGGAGCUAGGGUUAGGGUUGGGCUUGGAGCUAGGAUUUUUCUGAGUGCAAUGAACCAACUCCCGAGUCUCUAGGACGUUCCUAAAAAAAUUUGAUUUUUUCCCAUAGGAAUGCAUGGGUUAGGGUUAGGGUUAGGGUUGGAGCUAGGGUUAGGGUUAGGGUUAGGGUUGGAGUCAGGGUUGGAGCUAGGGUUAGGGUUGGGCUUGGAGCUAGGAUUUUUCUGAGUGCAAUGAACCAACUCCCGAGUCUCUAGGACGUUCCUAAAAAAAUUUGAUUUUUUCCCAUAGGAAUGCAUGGGUUAGGGUUAGGGUUAGGGUUGGAGCUAGGGUUAGGGUUAGGGUUAGGGUUGGAGUUAGGGUUAGUGUUGGAGCUAGGGUUAGGGUUGGGCUUGGAGCUAGGAUUUUUCUGAGUGCAAUGAACCAACUCCCGAGUCUCUAGGACGUUCCUAAAAAAAUUUGAUUUUUUCCCAUAGGAAUG